This is a long non-coding RNA of Medicago truncatula (barrel medic), 2080 nucleotides long. RefSeq lists it as uncharacterized. The transcript has 6 exons. The record is from RefSeq and is a predicted model, not a curated record. NCBI's taxonomy places the organism in Eukaryota, Viridiplantae, Streptophyta, Magnoliopsida, Fabales, Fabaceae.
CGUACACUACACCAAAUUAAACAAUCCUUCAUGCCAAAAAUUUCCCACCAUCGAUAAAGACCGAAAGCUCUCCUCCACCCCCAAACGAACCCUAACCCGAAGUCCUUCUCUAUUGCAAAAUCCACCAACAACACGAAGCUCUCCGGAAUCAUACCCCUGCGAGCGAAAAUUGGCGAGAGGUCUUUUGUGACUGCUUUUUGUCUCUUCUAACUCGUUUAAAAUCAUAUUUGAACAACAUCAAUUGAGUGGAACGGCCAAAAAGGAAUUCAAAGUUGUGAUUCCGAAUCGAUUUAGAAGAAGCAAAAAGGAAUGGGGAAUGUCCAUUGACGAAGAAACAGGAACUUGAAUCAUCAAAGAAGAAGAGAUCUGAAACAAGGGAACUCAUUUGGAGUUGAGCCAAAAGAUUCCGCUAAAGAAUACGAUGAGUUGAUUAGGUUGAAGUGUGAAGCUAAACUUAAGGGUGGAUUUUAUGUUGACCCUGAAGCUAUAUUCUUGGUAAUUAUCAUUGUUAUCAACCCAAAAUCAUGGAUUAUUUUGCAAUUAUAGGAAGAUAUGUUUUUUCUAACUCAAUGAAUUGGUUUUAUUUUUGAUGGGUGCUGAUUAGUAACUUCAUUGGCUGAUUGAGAAAUUUGUCAAGGUCUGUUUGUGUUAAAUUUUUAAUGUUAAAUAAAAUUAAAAUAGUAUGUUGGUUUAUAGAAGAACAUAUAUAUAUAUACACUUGUGAUUGUAUAUACAAGUGAGUGUUGUACUUGCAUCUCUUUGUUUUUGCAUGAGUUUUUGAGGUGCUGAGUUUUUCUACACAAAAUAUAUGUAUAGGAUGUGUGUUUGUGUCUACAUUUUCAUUAUGUCUAUUGUAUGAAUUAUAAAUUGUAGCUUUGAAACCUAUGUAUGGAACAAGAAUUUUGUGCUUGCUUAUGUCUACUACUUGAACUCCAAGGUGAUUGAAACAAUUAUCAAGUUUAAGGUGAUUGAAACAAUCAUGAUUUAGAUCUUACUUAUUUGAUUUUAUUUUGUAGAUAUGGAGUUUUCACGUUGUCCACAACCCAAGUUACCAUUUCCACUUUUAUCUGCUACCUCUAAGGGAGAACCAAAGGUUUCACUAGUUAAUGACAAAAUGAUGAAUAUAAAAGAAAUAGCAGAUGAGAGAAAGGUUGUCUCUGCUACACAACAUGUAUCUUAGCAAGUAAUGAUCCUUAGAGUUGCUGAUGGAACAUUUAGUUUACAUGGGAAAUACAUGCGGGAUUAUAUGAUUGCAGCAGCAGGCAUUCCAUAUCAUCUAGUACAAUUGUCUCUAAAAAGGAUAUUGUGUUUUGAAGGCUGACUGACUUUAGUUGGUAUGCAAGGAUAAUAGGAUAUCACACCUAGGUAUUCAAUAUCAACUACUUGUUUAAGGUUUGAUUAUUUGAGCAUGAAAUCAUGUUAGUAGAAUAACAUUAGUUUAAUGUCUAAACAAGGAUAUGAGUGAUUGUGAAUUUUUUACUUCCUUUGCAUUCAUGUCACUACAUAUAUUGUUUUUGAAUAUGACUUCAAGUUUUGGCAAUAAUGCAUCAACGUAAGGUGAUUUUCCGCCUCCAAAUCCAUGCUACACAUGUAAGUUUUCUCUUCAGUACGUAAGUCAUUUCGUAAAUCUAAUUGUUUAUUGUUCUAUACAUAAAGCACUAUUAAAGAAAAUUUGUUGACUAGCUUGAUUGACAUUGCUUUGUUUUCUUGGCAUAAUUAUUGAAAACAACAAAAACUAUGCUUGAGACCCACAUAUUUUAAAUUUUGCAGGCUGAUGGAAGUUACAUAUUUAGCUUAGACAUUCUUCCGAAGCUUUGUCAAUUAGCUCAAGAACAUGUCAAGAGCAUGAGAGAAUGAUAAUGUCAAUGAAGGAGGGGAUAGUAACAACAAUUUAGAGAUUUGGAAAGUAUUAGAUUCAUUAUUAUAUUAUUUUUUUUAGGUAAUGGAUAGUUUUACUUUGAUUGGUUCAGUUAUUUGCAAAUUAUAUUUAUGUAUUUUUGAGAGUACUUUUCUCUUGUAUGAGACAUUAUUCUCUUGAAUGAGACAUUAUUAUGUUGAUCAAAAUUUGCAAACUAUAUUU